ACAAGUAGAGAUGCAGCGACAUGGUAGUAGUCUGCGUCCGCGUUUUACGUUUUCUUUCCUAAUGUGCGGGUCCCCUCGCCACAUCAUCAUCUUCAAGCCUCAUCCAUGGAAUAACCGCACGCACGACCUCGUCCGUUUUCAGUUUCUUUGCGUUUCCUCUCGACUUGAUUCCCGGCGAUUUAAGCCACCAUUUAACGAGCGGUUUGUUCCUACUUAAGCCCCACUCACUCCUCUCUAUUUCCCCUCUCCUUCCUCUCCAAAUAGUGCCCCAAGGCUGCUCGUUUCCGUCGUCGAACUCCGCAGUUCUGCCGCCGUUCGUCGACGAUUUUCGCGAGCGAAUCGACGUCGCGGUCAUUUUCUGCAUCUCGUCGGCGGUCACACGAACUCCGUCCGCUCUCCAACGACGCCAUGGAAGCAGGAGUGGUGCCGAGAAGGUCAUCGGGGCCGCCUUGAAGCCCGCGUCUCCUCGCCUAUCUUCCUCCAUCGUCGGACACGGAGACCACCCGAGCGGCAUCAUCGACGACGCGCACAGCAGCUCUAUCCACACCCACGAACUCUGCAUCGUCGGUAUUGCCUUCGUGCGUAUGUCUUGAACGGAGAGCUACGUCGUUGUUGUGAGAAGUGAACGAUCUUCGACUACCAAAAAG
Molecule: long non-coding RNA, 647 nt
Organism: Lolium rigidum
Lineage: Eukaryota; Viridiplantae; Streptophyta; Magnoliopsida; Poales; Poaceae
Exons: 3
Source: RefSeq, a predicted model, not a curated record